UUAUCCGUAAAAUUUUAGAAAACUCCCAAAAGGUAGGCAACCAGGAAUACAUUUCAAUUAUCUUUCAUAUCGCAUACGAGAGCUGCUGCCAUCAUCGAUGAAACGAGGAAACCUUUUGUUUGUAGCGAUAGGAACUAUCGGGUACAAAAAAGGGAUUGGAGAAUUUUUUUUUAUUCAGAAAAUGGCUCGAAUGUCUUGAACGCUAAAUUUUGUUGAUUGAAUAUUUUACGCUUUAGGCGGUUUUAAUUGAUCAGUGUUCUUUUCGACAGUGAUAUUUGGUCGGAUAAUUCGUUGGAUUAUAUUAUCAACUGUCGAUUUGUCUCUACGGAGGAUUUUAGAUAUCAGCCUUUUUUUUGUGGUAAAAGAAGUCAACGUCUCGCGAUUAUUAGGGAAUCGGUAAUCGGAGGCGUUUAACCCCAUAUAUCGAAAUCAUCUCGAGGAAAAUAAAAAUUACUUUGAAGAGAAUAUAUGUCAUUCGAUGGUCGCAAUACUGUAAUAUUCAUGGUCGCCUUCUAAGGAUAUAAUUAAAGGAAUGAACACCCGUUCCAGGAAGUGCAGUACUCCGUACAAUCCAGUAAUCUGGCUAAGUACCGCAUAGCGGAAUUUGUUUUUUGGUCAUUUAUUUUGCAUUCCGUAACUUCCACGGGCCAAUAUCUACGUUUAGUAAUCAUCAACUGGGAACUACACUCAGCGGAUAUUGUUUAACUGUUUUCUGUAUAUUAGUUAUGUAAGUUUUGCGUAAUGUCUUUAGGGGACUGGACGAAGACCUACCAUACAGAUCUCAUCCACUCCUCUUCUUCCCUCUCAUGAGAGUUUUCUAAGUGCACGAAACCCCUCCAACCAUUUCAAAUCUUGUUUUAUUGAUUAUAUAUUUAUAGAUAAGCCAGUAUAUAAUAUAUUUCUAUUGAAUUGA
Long non-coding RNA from Leptinotarsa decemlineata (Colorado potato beetle), 913 nucleotides. Lineage: Eukaryota; Metazoa; Arthropoda; Insecta; Coleoptera; Chrysomelidae. The record is from RefSeq and is a predicted model, not a curated record.